Molecule: ribosomal RNA, 562 nt
Filed under: Leotiomycetes sp. ZZ-19
Lineage: Eukaryota; Fungi; Ascomycota; Leotiomycetes
Also listed under: 1 other name
Description: eukaryotic LSU rRNA
Rfam family: 5.8S ribosomal RNA (bases 220-373)
Source: RNAcentral
AAGUCGUAACAAGGUUUCCGUAGGUGAACCUGCGGAAGGAUCAUUACAGUAGUCAUCCGGGUUGCCGCAAGGCCUCCCGGGUAACCUACCACCCUUUGUUUAUUACACUUUGUUGCUUUGGCAGGCCUGCCCUCGGGCUGCUGGCUCCGGCCGGCGAGCGCCUGCCAGAGGACCUAAACUCUGUUUGUCUAUAUUGUCUGAGUACUAUAUAAUAGUUAAAACUUUCAACAACGGAUCUCUUGGUUCUGGCAUCGAUGAAGAACGCAGCGAAAUGCGAUAAGUAAUGUGAAUUGCAGAAUUCAGUGAAUCAUCGAAUCUUUGAACGCACAUUGCGCCCCCUGGUAUUCCGGGGGGCAUGCCUGUCCGAGCGUCAUUACAACCCUCAAGCUCAGCUUGGUGUUGGGCCCCGCCGCCCCGGCGGGCCCUAAAGUCAGUGGCGGUGCCGUCCGGCUCCGAGCGUAGUAAUUCUUCUCGCUCUGGAGGUCCGGUCGUGUGCUCGCCAGCAACCCCCAAUUUUUUUCAGGUUGACCUCGGAUCAGGUAGGGAUACCCGCUGAACUUAA